GAUGAACGCUGGCGGCGUGCCUAAUACAUGCAAGUCGAGCGAACAGAUGAGGAGCUUGCUCCUCUGACGUUAGCGGCGGACGGGUGAGUAACACGUGGAUAACCUACCUAUAAGACUGGGAUAACUUCGGGAAACCGGAGCUAAUACCGGAUAAUAUAUUGAACCGCAUGGUUCAAUGGUGAAAGACGGUUUUGCUGUCACUUAUAGAUGGAUCCGCGCCGCAUUAGCUAGUUGGUAAGGUAACGGCUUACCAAGGCAACGAUGCGUAGCCGACCUGAGAGGGUGAUCGGCCACACUGGAACUGAGACACGGUCCAGACUCCUACGGGAGGCAGCAGUAGGGAAUCUUCCGCAAUGGGCGAAAGCCUGACGGAGCAACGCCGCGUGAGUGACGAAGGUCUUCGGAUCGUAAAACUCUGUUAUUAGGGAAGAACAAAUGUGUAAGUAACUAUGCACGUCUUGACGGUACCUAAUCAGAAAGCCACGGCUAACUACGUG
RNAcentral lists this ribosomal RNA (497 nucleotides) under uncultured bacterium. RNAcentral's name for it is "partial 16S ribosomal RNA". It matches the Rfam family "Bacterial small subunit ribosomal RNA", at positions 28 to 507 of the family's 1533-position model. The record is from RNAcentral.